AAAUGCCUUCCUUGUUUGUUGACAGAUUCUGCACAGCACUGGACUGGAGUUUCAGAACCAAGUACAGGAAGCAAAAGACCUGGACCAGCUGAUCAAGAUCCACUACAGAUACCUGGCAACUAUCCAUGACCGCUGUCUGUUAAGAGAAAAGGUCAGCUUUGUCAAAGAGGCGAUAAUGAAGGUUCUCAAUCUGGUGCUCAUCUUCUCAGACCGAUGGAGAGCUGGAUUUGGAGCUUGGAAGAUCGAGUCUAUUGAUAAGAUGGAGUUGGAUUUCAAAAACUGCCACAUGUUCCUGGUGACGAUACUUAAUAAGGCUGUUCGUCGGGGCUCAUUUCCUCAUCUGGAGUCUCUGGCCCUGUCUCUGAAGGCCGGAUAUGAGCAGUGCUGAUAAUUCGUUUCAUUCUUCCAUCACUUUGACUGUUUUCACUACAGUAAGCAGUGACAUGGAGGCUGCCAUCUUCUCUUUGUGGAUCAGUAACUUAUAUCAAGUUUUGGCAGCCAAAACAUGAACAGCUGUAUUUAUUUCAUGAGAUGCGUGGUUUUUUUUUGGUUUUUUUUAUAAAAGCAAAUAGUCAUGUUGAUUGUAAAUAAUGUUAUUGUACUGUACAUAUCUGUAAGCACAAAUAAAAUGUCAGUGAUGUUUGAUUACUAAAAAUUUCACAAAAGUACAACGGAGAAG
Long non-coding RNA from Cyprinodon variegatus (sheepshead minnow), 679 nucleotides. RefSeq lists it as uncharacterized. The transcript has 4 exons. NCBI's taxonomy places the organism in Eukaryota, Metazoa, Chordata, Actinopteri, Cyprinodontiformes, Cyprinodontidae. The record is from RefSeq and is a predicted model, not a curated record.